RNAcentral lists this ribosomal RNA (253 nucleotides) under uncultured bacterium. RNAcentral describes it as "partial 16S ribosomal RNA". It matches the Rfam family "Bacterial small subunit ribosomal RNA", at positions 524 to 776 of the family's 1533-position model. The record is from RNAcentral.
UACGUAGGGGGCAAGCGUUGUCCGGAUUUAUUGGGCGUAAAGAGCGUGUAGGCGGUUUGGUAGGUCCGUUGUGAAAACUCGAGGCUCAACCUCGAGACGCCGAUGGAAACCAUCAGACUAGAGUCCGGAAGAGGAGAGUGGAAUUCCUGGUGUAGCGGUGAAAUGCGCAGAUAUCAGGAGGAACACCUAUUGCGAAGGCAGCUCGCUGGGACGUUACUGACGCUGAGACGCGAAAGCGUGGGGAGCAAACAGG